UACGGAGGAUGCAAGCGUUAUCCGGAAUUAUUGGGCGUAAAGCGUCCGUAGGUGGUUGAGUAAGUCAGUUGUUAAAGCGUGGAGCUUAACUCCAUAACGGCAAUUGAAGCUACUCGGCUAGAGUGCGAUAGGGGCAAGGGGAAUUCCCAGUGUAGCGGUGAAAUGCGUAGAUAUUGGGAAGAACACCGGUGGCGAAAGCGCCUUGCUGGGUCUGCACUGACACUGAGGGACGAAAGCUAGGGGAGCGAAAGGG
RNAcentral lists this ribosomal RNA (253 nucleotides) under uncultured bacterium. Its description in RNAcentral is "partial 16S ribosomal RNA". It matches the Rfam family "Bacterial small subunit ribosomal RNA", at positions 524 to 776 of the family's 1533-position model. The record is from RNAcentral.